AUCGAAAAUUUCCUUCUUUUUUGCCAUCUCUUCCACUUUAACUGUGGCAGCAUCGAUAACCUCCACUUCAUAUUCUUUGCAAACCAUCUUCACCAUGUCAUUGCUGAGAGUUUGCACACCAUCAGGCUUGAUUCCUUUUGAAUAUAGAAGACCAAGGAUUUCACCUUCGCUAGUAGCUAAGUUGUAGGCCAACUCCUCAGUCGGCAUGCCUUCUUCACCAACCUCUAGAAUUUCUACUUUGACAGGUGCAGACUCUUGAGCAGCCUUAAGUCGAGCUGCCUUGCGACUUGCCUUAGUCCACUUCCUUCCCUUCCUUGCUCUACCAGGAAGAGAAACAUCAAGCUCUGAUGCUUCCUCGUCGGGAAUCCCAUCAUCAACCAUACGCCUGCGUUGUCCUCCAGAUACACCACUCUUUUUACGGAACUCCUCCCUGAAUUUACCAGGAGGUGCGCUCUUUCCAAAUUUAGGAGGGGCUAAAACAGCUUGAGCAAUCACAGGAUCAACAGCUGAUUUCUUGGAGGCAAAUUUAUCAACCAAUAUUGUCUUGCGUUCUUUGGUCUUUCCAGCUGCUUCAAGUUCUUUGGUCUUUCCAACAGAUUCAACUCCAUCAGAGGGUGGGGACUUCGCCGCAGCACCAACAUCCUUCAAUAUCACCGGUUUCUUGAUAAUAGGAGGAGGAGGAGCUACAGAUGGUCUUGCUAGUAACUGUGGUUGAACUUUCUGGGGUGGCUGAGGGGGUUUUAUUGGAGCAACACUUUGGGAUUCACUAUUCCUUCCACCAUCAGUCAUUGGUUCCUGUUUAGGGGGUGGUUUUACAACUUUUUGUACAGCAGCAAUCGGAUUCCCUUUUUUCCAGACACUCUUCAAAGUUUUCGACUUCCUGUUGGAAGAAUCAUCAGAAUCAACUGUCUUGCUAUUUCUUUGUGUAGUACGUGCACUGGCAGACGCCUUGUUAACCGAAACAUUUGUUUUUCUGUUAGUUUCUA
RNAcentral lists this unclassified non-coding RNA (986 nucleotides) under Hevea brasiliensis (rubber tree). The record is from RNAcentral. Lineage: Eukaryota; Viridiplantae; Streptophyta; Magnoliopsida; Malpighiales; Euphorbiaceae.